CAGCAGCCGCGGUAAUACGUAGGUGGCAAGCGUUGUCCGGAAUUAUUGGGCGUAAAGCGCGCGCAGGCGGCCUAUCCAGUCUGUCUUAAAAGUUCGGGGCUCAACCCCGUGAUGGGAUGGAAACUAGUAGGCUAGAGUAUCGGAGAGGAAAGCGGAAUUCCUAGUGUAGCGGUGAAAUGCGUAGAUAUUAGGAAGAACACCAGUGGCGAAGGCGGCUUUCUGGACGAAAACUGACGCUGAGGCGCGAAAGCCAAGGGAGCGAACGGGAUUAGAUACCCCCGUAGUCCCUGUCUCUUAUACA
Molecule: ribosomal RNA, 301 nt
Filed under: uncultured bacterium
Lineage: Bacteria
Description: partial 16S ribosomal RNA
Rfam family: Bacterial small subunit ribosomal RNA
Source: RNAcentral